AAAUUCCUAUAGGAAUUUUUCCUAUAGGAAUUCCUUAUAGGAAUUCCUAUAGGAAAAAUUCCUAAAGGAAAAAUU
Paramuricea clavata is the source of this 75-nucleotide non-coding RNA. Lineage: Eukaryota; Metazoa; Cnidaria; Anthozoa; Malacalcyonacea; Plexauridae. The record is from the annotation of a GenBank genome assembly.